AUGUUUCAUCGCCUGGAGAAUAUUUAUCUUGGCAUAUGCAUUUGGGACCAGAGACAAAUCUCGGCAACUUGUUCAUUGUUUCAGAAUGCCCCUAACUUAAAGAUGCUUGAGCUAUGGAGUUACCCUAGGAUCACAUGGGAGCAGUAUCAGGAUCAGGCUAGCAUUCAAGAGCUUACCCGGGAAAUGCAAAUGGACCAUCUCGUAACGGCCAAUGUGAAACAUUUUGGGGGUCUGAACUAUGAAGUCGAUUUCGUGGCAAAGCUACUGAGCUGGGCACCUGUUUUGGAAGAGGUGAAAUUAGAGUGGAAGGGCGAAACAGACCGCAGCAUGGUUCUUACCAAGCUAUUAGCUCUGCCGAGGGUGUCUCCCGGAGCCAAGAUCAUUGUUACAUGA
Molecule: ribosomal RNA, 393 nt
Filed under: Triticum aestivum (bread wheat)
Lineage: Eukaryota; Viridiplantae; Streptophyta; Magnoliopsida; Poales; Poaceae
Description: partial small subunit ribosomal RNA
Source: RNAcentral